Molecule: ribosomal RNA, 496 nt
Filed under: uncultured bacterium
Lineage: Bacteria
Description: partial 16S ribosomal RNA
Rfam family: Bacterial small subunit ribosomal RNA
Source: RNAcentral
GAUGAACGCUGGCGGCGUGCCUAAUACAUGCAAGUCGAACGAUCAGACGAGGAGCUUGCUCCUCUGACGUUAGCGGCGGACGGGUGAGUAACACGUGGAUAACCUACCUAUAAGAGUGGGAUAACUUCGGGAAACCGUAGCUAAUACCGCAUAAUAUAUUGAACCGCAUGGUUCAUAAUUGAAAGACGGUUUUGCUGUACUACAUGAUUGAACUGCCUCGUAUUUGCUAGUGGGUAAGGGAAAGGCUUACCAAGGGAACGAGACGUAGCCGACCUGGGAGGGUAAUCGGCAACACUGGAACUGGAACACGGUCCAGACUCCUACGGGAGCAAGCGUAGGGGAACCUUCGGCAUGGGGCGAAAGCCUGACGGAGCAAGGCGGCGUGGGGGAUGAAGGUCUUCGAAUCUUAAGACUCGGUUAUUGGGGAGGAAGAAAUGUGUAGGGAAAUGUGCACGUCUUGACGGUACCUAAUCAGAAAGCCACGGCUAACUACGUG